This 303-nucleotide ribosomal RNA is filed under the name uncultured bacterium. Its description in RNAcentral is "partial 16S ribosomal RNA". It matches the Rfam family "Bacterial small subunit ribosomal RNA", at positions 507 to 807 of the family's 1533-position model. The record is from RNAcentral.
AGCAGCAGCCGCGGUAAUACAGAGGGUGCGAGCGUUAAUCGGAUUUACUGGGCGUAAAGCGUGCGUAGGCGGCUAAUUGAGUCGGAUGUGAAAUCCCCGAGCUUAACUUGGGAAUUGCAUUCGAUACUGGUUAGCUAGAGUGUGGGAGAGGAUGGUAGAAUUCCAGGUGUAGCGGUGAAAUGCGUAGAGAUCUGGAGGAAUACCGAUGGCGAAGGCAGCCAUCUGGCCUAACACUGACGCUGAGGUACGAAAGCAUGGGGAGCAAACAGGAUUAGAUACCCGCGUAGUCCCUGUCUCUUAUAC